AUUCCCCGCGCUCUGUACACGCUGCACACUCAAGGGCAGGAGGAAGGAAAGGCCAAGCACUGGUCUUGCUUUGGAGUCCAGCUCCUGACGGGGGUCACAUAGCUGAACUCUCCUCUUCAAGUUCCUUUUCUAUUCUUAGCUUCAACUUUCAGCAACAUCUCCUCUGAUGGCUUAUUUGUUUGCAAAGCAAACUACAGGACGUGCAUAAGGAGGAGUAGUGGAAUUCUAGCCAUUAAGAUGAAGAAUCUGAAAAGAAUAUCCUGUGUGGAAGAAUGAAGGGGGGAUUAGCUGGUGCUUUUGCUGAAGUGCUGGCCAGAGAUCCAGUGAGCCUCUUCCCUGCACAAGGAAACCGUCAGCAAGAGGCGCCUGAAGGAGUGGAGAGGGGAGCAGCGCAGACAGUGACUGGAGGCUAGAAUGAAGAAGGUGAAUCCUGAGUCAAUGAAAAAUCACACAUUACAGCUGCUGCAACAGGCAGAACACAAUUAAAUGGUCCACCAGACCCCUCAGCAAUUUUCAAGAGGGCCGUGGUGGUGGUGGGAAUUGGGAGCCGCCGUCGCAGGGAAAACAGAUCAUGUGCAGCAGCCGCUGCUGGGACUGACCCUGUUCAGGAAUGGCGCCACCAAGAACAUCUGCGGAGAGCCUGAAGGUGGAUCAGGCCACGGUGGUCCCAUCCAGCCCAUCCUCCUCUUCUCACAGCAGCCAAACAGAUGUCUCUUCUGGGAAGCUCACAGCCAGGACCUGGACACAACCGCCGUACUCUGCCCUUCAGAUUCCCAGCACCUGGCGUUCAGGGCACCCUGCCUCCAAUAGUGGAGGGCAAACAUAGCCAUCGUGGCCAGUAGCCAUUGAUGAAAGAUACCCAGCCUUCACCACCACGCAAACACAUGCUGGGGGGGAGGACAGGACUAUACAACACUGGGUGCCUGGCAAGAGUUAAUUAAGAAAUAUUUAACCCCAAGACUGUGAUUCCAUCUGGAUUCCAUCUCCCCUCCCCCCCCAAGAACGAGUCUGACACCCUGCCAUGACUGUUUUGUCCCUCAUUAUGUUACAAAUCAUUUCCACUUUCCCCAGCCCCCGUGAGCCACUUUUGGAAACAACAGCGACACGUUUCCCUUUGUCCAUACAAACAGCUGGCCUGCCUCAGUCAGGGCUGAACCACGCUGCCUCAAGGGCUGUGAUGAUUACGAUCCCGUUAUACUGCCACACAUGCCCUCUUCCUCCCCCGAGUAGCAUUAACACAUCUGCCGUAGCUGGAAAGAUGCCGCAAAGGAGUUUCUGGGCACAGGAAGGGCCCCGCUCCAGCUCCAGCUGCAGGAAGCAUUUUUCUUCUUGCAGAUGGCAAGCUGUUACGCCCAGAGACACAGCAGCAUGGAUAACAGUUGCUUGAGGCAAUGCCAUUUCACCUCCCCACAAACGUCGUGCAAGCCACUCAGGAUGGAUGCACAACAGACAGGUCACCUGGAAGGCCCUUUACAGCCAGGGACCUACAGCAGCUCCCCACAACCCUGCCGCUGCCCUGCAUGCCCCAAAAGGAAAGCGGGGAUCCUUUUGUGCCCAUAAGGCUCCGCAAAGCAUUCUUCCUAACAUGCAUGAAAAGUGGCUUAUAAGCAGCAACCAUAAAGUCAAAAGCAAAUUAAAAUAAAAAUGAGCUAAAAAUAAA
Long non-coding RNA from Rhineura floridana, 1660 nucleotides. RefSeq lists it as uncharacterized. NCBI's taxonomy places the organism in Eukaryota, Metazoa, Chordata, Lepidosauria, Squamata, Rhineuridae. The transcript has 2 exons. The record is from RefSeq and is a predicted model, not a curated record.